Molecule: ribosomal RNA, 518 nt
Filed under: uncultured bacterium
Lineage: Bacteria
Description: partial 16S ribosomal RNA
Rfam family: Bacterial small subunit ribosomal RNA
Source: RNAcentral
AACGAACGCUGGCGGCGUGCCUAACACAUGCAAGUCGAACGUGAUUAGAGAGCUUGCUCUCUAUGAAAGUGGCGCACGGGUGAGUAACGCGUAGAUAAUCUGCCUGAUUGGUCUGGGAUAACACUUCGAAAGGGGUGCUAAUACCGGAUAAGCCCACGGAGACCUUGGUCUUUGCGGGAAAAGGGGGGGACCUUCGGGCCUUCUGCCAUCGGUUGAGUCUGCGUACCAUUAGCUAGUUGGUAGGGUAAAGGCCUACCAAGGCGACGAUGGUUAGCUGGUCUGAGAGGAUGAUCAGCCACACUGGAACUGAGACACGGUCCAGACUCCUACGGGAGGCAGCAGUGGGGAAUUUUGCGCAAUGGGGGAAACCCUGACGCAGCAACGCCGCGUGAGUGAUGAAGGCUCUUGGGUCGUAAAGCUCUGACAGAGGGAAAGAAAUGUGGGUGGCUAAUAUCCAUACCACUUGACGGUACCCUCAAAGGAAGCACCGGCUAACUCCGUGCCAGCCGCCGCUGUAA